This 492-nucleotide ribosomal RNA is filed under the name uncultured bacterium. RNAcentral describes it as "partial 16S ribosomal RNA". It matches the Rfam family "Bacterial small subunit ribosomal RNA", at positions 29 to 507 of the family's 1533-position model. The record is from RNAcentral.
AGUGAACGCUGGCGGUAGGCCUAACACAUGCAAGUCGAACGGCAGCACAGUAAGAGCUUGCUCUUACGGGUGGCGAGUGGCGGACGGGUGAGGAAUACAUCGGAAUCUACUUUUUCGUGGGGGAUAACGUAGGGAAACUUACGCUAAUACCGCAUACGACCUACGGGUGAAAGCAGGGGAUCUUCGGACCUUGCGCGAUUGAAUGAGCCGAUGUCGGAUUAGCUAGUUGGCGGGGUAAAGGCCCACCAAGGCGGCGAUCCGUAGCUGGUCUGAGAGGAGGAUCAGCCACACUGGAACUGAGACACGGUCCAUACUCCUACGGGAGGCAGCAGUGGGGAAUAUGGGACAAUGGGCGCAAGCCUGAUCCAGCCAUACCGCGUGGGUGAAGAAGGCCUUCGGGUUGUAAAGCCCUUUUGUUGGGAAAGAAAAGCAGCAGGUUAAUACCCCGCUGUUCUGACGGUACCCAAAGAAUAAGCACCGGCUAACUUCGUG